GAAGAGCCUUACACCGAAGGAGUAGCGACCCACGAUGACCGUGAGCCGUGCGUCGACGACCCGCAAGGACGUGGCGAAGCGUCGGAUAGGGGUACGUGCAGGCCAGCCAUUGAGCCGCGAAAUCAAGUUCCUCGGGGUGCCGACGCUGUCGGAACAAGCGGAAGGCCACAUCUCUGAUGGUGCUAUCGUGAGCCGUCAGGGGACCCCGCGCGGUCAGAGACCC
This is a non-coding RNA of Ferrimicrobium acidiphilum DSM 19497, 223 nucleotides long. The record is from Rfam. Lineage: Bacteria; Bacillati; Actinomycetota; Acidimicrobiia; Acidimicrobiales; Acidimicrobiaceae.